This 821-nucleotide ribosomal RNA is filed under the name alpha proteobacterium SCGC AAA008-O15. Its description in RNAcentral is "SSU rRNA". It matches the Rfam family "Bacterial small subunit ribosomal RNA", at positions 38 to 911 of the family's 1533-position model. The record is from RNAcentral. Lineage: Bacteria; Pseudomonadati; Pseudomonadota; Alphaproteobacteria.
GGCGGCAUGCUUAACACAUGCAAGUUCGAACGAAGUCUUCGGACUUAGUGGCGCACGGGUGAGUAACAUGUGGGAAUCUACCUAAAGGUUCGGAAUAACUGCGGGAAACUGUAGCUAAUACCGGAUGUGUCUGUAAAGAGAAAGAUUUAUUGCCUUUAGAUGAGCCCGCACUAGAUUAGUUUGUUGGUGAGGUAAAAGCUCACCAAGACUACGAUCUAUAGCUGGUCUGAGAGGAUGACCAGCCACACUGGGACUGAGACACGGCCCAGACUCCUACGGGAGGCAGCAGUGGGGAAUAUUGGACAAUGGGGGAAACCCUGAUCCAGCAAUGCCGCGUGAGUGAAGAAGGCCUUCGGGUUGUAAAACUCUUUCAUCAGUGAAGAUAAUGACUGUAACUGAAGAAGAAGCUCCGGCUAACUCCGUGCCAGCAGCCGCGGUAAUACGGAGGGGGCUAGCGUUGUUCGGAAUUACUGGGCGUAAAGAGCACGUAGGCGGAUCAAAAAGUUAGAUGUGAAAUCCCUGGGCUUAACUCAGGAACUGCAUUUAAAACUAAUGAUCUAGAAUUUGGUAGGGGGUAGUAGAAUUUCCAGUGUAGAGGUGAAAUUCGUAGAUAUUGGAAAGAAUACCAGUAGCGAAGGCGGCUACCUGGGCCAAAAUUGACGCUGAGAUGCGAAAGCGUGGGUAGCAAACAGGAUUAGAUACCCUGGUAGUCCACGCAGUAAACGAUGAGUGCUAGUCGCUGGAUCUUAAGAUUCGGUGUCGAAGCUAACGCAUUAAGCACUCCGCCUGGGAAGUACGGUCGCAGAUAGCUAAUAGAUACG